Molecule: ribosomal RNA, 399 nt
Filed under: uncultured bacterium
Lineage: Bacteria
Description: bacterial SSU rRNA
Rfam family: Bacterial small subunit ribosomal RNA
Source: RNAcentral
CAGCAGCCGCGGUAAUACGUAGGGUGCGAGCGUUAAUCGGAAUUACUGGGCGUAAAGCGUGCGCGGGCGGUUGUGCAAGACAGGUGUGAAAUCCCCGGGCUUAACCUGGGAACUGCACUUGUGACUGCACGGCUGGAGUGCGGCAGAGGGGGAUGGAAUUCCGCGUGUAGCAGUGAAAUGCGUAGAUAUGCGGAGGAACACCGAUGGCGAAGGCAAUCCCCUGGGCCUGCACUGACGCUCAUGCACGAAAGCGUGGGGAGUAAACAGGAUUAGAUACCCUGGUAGUCCACGCCCUAAACGAUGUCAACUGGUUGUUGGACGGCUUGCUGUUCAGUAACGAAGCUAACGCGUGAAGUUGACCGCCUGGGGAGUACGGCCGCAAGGUUGAAACUCAAAGGA